CACGGAAAACACUCUUGAGAACCCAGCUAAUCAUCUCUUUGGCAUGUGAAAACAGUCGUGGUGAGAGCAAAGCGUUUCUGCACACGGGCCAAGGUGCGGAGGUGAACUUUGAGGGACGCCAGUGAGUGAUCAGACUGUGGGAAGGCAACACGCUCCUGGAGACACGGAGUCACGGAGACAUUCGCUGUUCAUAAUGAGGAGUAACUUAUCAUCCAACUCCAACCUGUAGCAUAUAAGUAAAGGACAUACGAACGGCGCAACGAGGCGUGACAACUCGCAAAAAAAACGAGUGUAUUAGUACGUAUUUAUAGGGAGCGGCGACACGGCAAUGUGGCGGAGAGAUCUUAGCGUCUGGGAGACAAAUUGGAUGAAAUUUGAAUUACUCUUCAUACCUGAGUCGAGUUGCACGCAUACCAACUCCCGAAUAUUGCCCGAGGAAAAAGAAAAGAAAGAAAAUUUACAAGGGAAAUGAAAGAGGUGAGGCUAGGAUGGCGUUUGUGACCUGAUCGUCCUCCGCUGUCCCUAAGGUCGCGGGAAGGUGUUUUGGCAACGCUUCCUCGUGCCGCGCCGCCCUCGUGGGAUUCAGAACGGACCUGUUAUUUACGCGGUGGUGUUAAGCCGCUUAUUGGUGGCGGAUGUCCUACAUAACUUGAUGAGCUGUGAGGCGGAGAGAGGGAGGCUGUGGGGCGGGGAAGUGUGAGGUGUUGUUUGAUGUCGUGGCGGGGCUUGAGGGGCGUGAGGAACGGUGAGGCAGGAGGAGUUGAGAGUGGUGCGGGGAAGGGCUGCAGGACUGAAGGCCGAGUUGCGUGGUAUGUACUGUAAUAUAGUGUGGUGGCGGUGAUAAUUCCGACUCCUUCGCCCUUACCACUGAUUCUCUCUCUCUCUAUCUCUCUCUCUCUCUCUCUCUCUCUGGUGAUGAGUAAACAGUAAUGUAUCUAGAUUAAGUUCCACAUGAUUCUCUUUACUUGCACACAGCAUUGCACCAUACCACACUUCUAUCUCUUGCAUCCCCUUCCUCCUCACCCCUCCCCCACUCUCCCCUCUCAUCCCUGCCAACACACCCCUCCAUGCCGUAUAGUAUUCGUCCCCACGCCACAUCUCUCCUCCCCAACCUGACCAUUACUUGUCCGCCCACAUUCUCUCUUCUCAGGUCACUGCCCCUGCCUCCUGCACCGCCGCGUCUCUGUGUCCCUCCCUCUCUCCCCUCCUUGCCUCCCCGACCCAUAUUCAGUGCCUCCACUCGCUAUCUCUCUCCCUGCCCUUCUUGCGUCCUCGUUCUCUCUGUACUCUCUCUUUAUAGAUAUUAUCCUUGUCGUUUUCUUCCAACGCUUUACCUCUCAGCAUCACAAGUGUCCUCCUCGUCCUCUUCCUUCACUACGUUUUCUCUAAUACGCCUUCCUUUACUUCAUCCCACUUUUGUCCAGCCUUACUUAUCAUCUCCUAGCCCUUCUGUCUUUGUUGCAGUACCGCAGGCGCACUCUCUCUCUCUCUCUCUCUCUCUCUCUCUCUCUCUCUCUCUC
This is a long non-coding RNA of Scylla paramamosain (green mud crab), 1520 nucleotides long. RefSeq lists it as uncharacterized. NCBI's taxonomy places the organism in Eukaryota, Metazoa, Arthropoda, Malacostraca, Decapoda, Portunidae. The record is from RefSeq and is a predicted model, not a curated record. The transcript is spliced from 3 exons.